RNAcentral lists this long non-coding RNA (282 nucleotides) under Chloebia gouldiae (Gouldian finch). Its description in RNAcentral is "Erythrura gouldiae (Gouldian finch) lncRNA (ENSEGOG00005002068.1)". Lineage: Eukaryota; Metazoa; Chordata; Aves; Passeriformes; Passeridae. The record is from RNAcentral.
AUGUGGGUGCUACAGGGAGACUUGAAAAAUGACUUCCAGUUUAUUAAGUCACAGUAUGAUCCAUAUCCACAGUGUAACUUCAGUGGAACAGAGGCUUUUACUCCCUUCCAAGAAGGAGAAACAGAUUUCAUAUCAGGACCAGAUAGGAUACCAGCUGUUUGCUUUACUUCUGGCAGUUCACAACACAGAAGUUCCUCAGGAGAGGAUGUUCUGUCACAGACAGUGUUGCUUUCAGGAAAGAUGAAGCCAAACCACAGGGCUUGUCUGCAGCAUCAUCUCUAA